This 431-nucleotide ribosomal RNA is filed under the name Bunia sp. MNHN EH16918. RNAcentral describes it as "partial 16S ribosomal RNA". The record is from RNAcentral. Lineage: Eukaryota; Metazoa; Arthropoda; Insecta; Hemiptera; Tingidae.
UUCCUUUUAAAAAAAAUAUAAGGUAUAACCUGCUCAAUGAGUUUUAAAUAGCCGCGAUAAUUUCGUGCUAAGGUAGCAUAAUAAUUUGUCUUUUAAUUAAAGUCUUGAAUGAAUGGUUGAACGAAAGAUAAACUUUUUUAAUCAAAGUUUAGAAAACUUUAAUUUUUAGUUAAAAUGCUAAAAUAUUUUUAUGGGACGAUAAGACCCUAUAGAAUUUUAUUCUAAUUUAUUUUUAAAAUAAAUUUGUUUAUAUUUUUUAAAUUUAAAUUAGAAUUUAAUUGGGGAGAUUAUCAUAAUUUAAUAACUAUGAUUUAUAAUUUUUCAUAAAUUAAUGAUUUUUUGAUCCUAAUUUUUAGAUUAUAAGAAUAAAUUACCUUAGGGAUAACAGCGUUAUUUUCUUGGAGAGUACAUAUUAAUAAGAAAGUUUGCGA